RNAcentral lists this long non-coding RNA (606 nucleotides) under Equus asinus (donkey). RNAcentral describes it as "lncRNA (ENSEASG00005036047.1)". Lineage: Eukaryota; Metazoa; Chordata; Mammalia; Perissodactyla; Equidae. The record is from RNAcentral.
AAAGUGAUCAAAAGACAGAGACCAGGUAUUUUAAGAGGGGGUGACUAAACACGUGAAAAGAUGUUUAAUCUCACAAACGAUCGACUAAGAUCACAAUGAAUACCAUUUUACAUCCAAAAGAUUGAAAAGUUAAGAAAUAUAACAAUACCAAUGAAGAAGAUAUGCAUCAAGAAGACAUCUACAGGUGGGGUUGUAAACUGAUACUCUGUUUGGAAAGCGAUUCGGCAUUAUCUUAUAAGGAUUCUUCAGGCUUUCUAUUUUUCUUAAGUCAAUUCUGAUGUUCUAAGAAGACUUUCAGUUGCAUGGCCUGAGAGCCUUGGGAUUCCGUCACCCACCCACCAUCCUUUAUGGAUCAUUUUUGUGUCAAUGUGAAGUCUGAGAGUCAUGGAGCCCAGUUAGAAAAUGAGUCAGUGGUCCAGGUGAAUGAUGAUGGAUAAAUAAACUUCCAUCACCAUGGAACUCAGGAGACAGAAGGUAUAUAUUUUGUAUGUAGAGGUAGGUGGUUCUUGGCUAGGGGUAAUUUUACUUUCCAGAGGACACUUGGCAAUGUCUGGCAAUAGUUUUAGUUGUCUAACUGGGGUAUAGGUGCUACUGACAUCUAGAGGG